AUGGGGGGAGAAGGAUCAUGCCACGUUUUCGGUGCCAUGACGGUGACAGCCGCGGGGUCAUCAGCUGCCGCGAGUCCGGGCACUGCCCCUUGCACCCCUGCCAAGCUCCCCGGAGUGCCGGGGCCCCACGCCGCCGAUGCCAUGCAGGCCACGGCGGUGCUGGGUCCUGCACUGCCCUGCUGCCUCCCCUCGUUGUCCCCUCCCAGCAUGUCCCCAGACCCCCCCAGAGGGUGUCCGGCCACAGCGGCACGGCGAGGUUGGCGCCCUGCUCGGGCUUCCCCUGUUUGCUGGGACCUGCAGGGUGCCGUGAGCCCCGUUCGGCGCUGGCGGAUGCAUGGAGCCGCGCGGGCAGCCAGCCGCCCAGGCCAGGCGUGGGGCAGCCCCCCUUGCCGUGUGGCAUCCCCGCCGCCAUCUGGGCUCCCCGGACAGCGAGCCAAGGCAGGGGCUCCACGGAAAAGCAGCCUCUCCUCGUUGGCCAGCCCUGACCUAUUUCAUCCGCGCCAGCCGAGUGGAUGCUUCCCGGGGCAGCUCAGGCUGCACGAGCGCAGGAGCGAGCCAGGAAAUCGCCCCACGCCGCACGGCGCUUGUCAGAGCCGCUGGAGCCAGCUGCGGUUCUGGGGCGGCGUUUCGAGCAAGCCGGGACCCGUGCGGCGCGGAGGCGUGGGGGCGAAAGGGGUCGGGACGGUUCGGGAGGAGGCGCGAAGGGAGGCAGGAUGGGAAAUGGUUUGUGCCGAGGCGGGAGGCUGCCCCGGGUCUCGGCCGUGGCGGGGAGCACCUGGCAUCGCCUGGUGCUGUCAGCCCCGCGGGACGGGGACUUGGGAGGCGACGGCACACGCACGGACAGCCCGCUCCAGGCAGCCCCUCCUAAAAGGGGGGCGAUGCCUCCGGCUGCAUGGCUUGGGAGGGGGGGCUCACCAAUGGGUGACACAGGGUGCAAGGGGGCCCUUUCCCAGAGGAGGGGAAGGGGCAUCGACAGGCUCCCUUGGGCAAGGAGCCAGGAAGGCGCUGAUGCUGUCAGGGAAGGGAGGAUUUCUUUAUUUUGAUGAUAAUUUCCCGGUGUUUGCGGCUGUCAGUUUUCUGGUUAGCAGCUCCCCCUCCCCGGAGCUGCUCCGCGUAGUUGACACCACAAUUGUUUUCUGA
This 1140-nucleotide long non-coding RNA is filed under the name Apteryx rowi (Okarito brown kiwi). Its description in RNAcentral is "lncRNA (ENSARWG00000017661.1)". Lineage: Eukaryota; Metazoa; Chordata; Aves; Apterygiformes; Apterygidae. The record is from RNAcentral.